AUACGUAGGAACCAAGCGUUAUCCGGAAUCAUUGGGUUUAAAGGGUCCGUAGGCGGACUAUUAAGUCAGAGGUGAAAUCCCACAGCUCAACUGUGGAACUGCCUUUGAUACUGGUAGUCUUGAGUUAUAUGGAAGUAGAUAGAAUGUGUAGUGUAGCGGUGAAAUGCAUAGAUAUUACACAGAAUACCGAUUGCGAAGGCAGUCUACUACGUAUAUACUGACGCUAAGGGACGAAAGCGUGGGGAGCGAACAGGAUUAGAAACCCCAGUAGUCC
Molecule: ribosomal RNA, 274 nt
Filed under: uncultured bacterium
Lineage: Bacteria
Description: partial 16S ribosomal RNA
Rfam family: Bacterial small subunit ribosomal RNA
Source: RNAcentral